Molecule: ribosomal RNA, 466 nt
Filed under: uncultured bacterium
Lineage: Bacteria
Description: partial 16S ribosomal RNA
Rfam family: Bacterial small subunit ribosomal RNA
Source: RNAcentral
GACGAACGCUGGCGGUGUGCUUAACACAUGCAAGUCGAACGGUAAGGCCCUUUCGGGGGUACACGAGUGGCGAACGGGUGAGUAAUACGUGAGUAACCUGCCCUCAUCUCUGGGAUAACAGUCGGAAACGGCUGCUAAUACUGGAUAUGAGCUUGCAAGGCAUCUUGUGGGUUGGAAAGAUUUUUUUGGUUGGGGAUGGACUCGCGGCCUAUCAGCUUGUUGGUGAGGUAGUGGCUCACCAAGGCUUCGACGGGUAGCCGGCCUGAGAGGGCGACCGGCCACAUUGGGACUGAGAUACGGCCCAAACUCCUACGGGAGGCAGCAGUGGGGAAUAUUGCACAAUGGACGGAAGUCUGAUGCAGCAACGCCGCGUGCGGGAUGACGGCCCUCGGGUUGUAAACCGCUUUCAAUUGUGACGAAGCUUUUUGUGACGGUAGCAGUAGAAGAAGCACCGGCUAACUACGUG